RNAcentral lists this ribosomal RNA (460 nucleotides) under uncultured bacterium. RNAcentral's name for it is "partial 16S ribosomal RNA". It matches the Rfam family "Bacterial small subunit ribosomal RNA", at positions 338 to 795 of the family's 1533-position model. The record is from RNAcentral.
CCUACGGGUGGCAGCAGUGAGGAAUAUUGGUCAAUGGGCGCGAGCCUGAACCAGCCAAGUAGCGUGAAGGAUGACUGCCCUACGGGUUGUAAACUUCUUUUAUAAAGGAAUAAAGUGAGGCUCGUGAUCCUUUUUGUAUGUACUGUAUGAAUAAGGGUAGCCUAAAUCCGUGCCAGCAGCCGCGGUAAGACGGAGGAUCCGAGCGUUACGCGGAUUUAUUGGGUUGAAAGGGAGCGUAGAUGGGUUGUUAAGUCAGUUGUGAAAGUUUGCCGCUCAACCGUAAAAUUGCAAUUGAUACUGGCAGUCUUGAGUACAGUUGAGGUAGGCGGAAUUCGUGGUGUAGCGGUGAAAUGCUUAGAUAUCACGAAGAACUCCGAUUGUGAAGGCAGCUUACUAAACUGCCACUGACAUUGAUGCUCGAAAGUGUGGGUAUCAAACAGGAUUAGAUACCCUUGUAGUC